CCUCGGGACAGCCCCGGCCGGGCCACGUUAGCUCCAGGGUGUUGAGUGAAGGGUCUGUGACAACUGUCACAGUGCUGCCUUGGCCGGGCCCUUCGCGGGAGGGACAGUCUGUCCGUCUAGCCAGAGUCACAGUCCAGCUGGGGCGCCGAGGCGAUCGAAAGCCGGUGUGUGAACGAUCAGAUGCCGGGUCUGCGCCUGCCGCCUCCCGGGGCGCCCGGAACACCCGACCGAGCGCCUUGAAAUGGCUGUGUCCUGGAGCUGGCGCACGGCGCAGGGUCCUUAGAAGGCUCGGGACACGGGGACUCCGGACACCGCUCCAAGUGGCAGCGAAGAGAGGGAUGGACAUUCAUGGUGCAAAGGCAUCAGGGCUGGGAGAGUACAGCAAGCAGUGAGGAGCUCGUUGUGCCUCUGACACUGUGCGGGGUCAGCGCCUUGGUCCCACGAAGAGGGGAUGACAGUAACCCCCAUUGGCCGGAUGGAGAAACGGAAGCUGUGUGUCAGGCCUGCCAGGCUGGCCUCGAACUCACAGCGAUCCUCCUGCCUCAGCCUCCCGGGUAACAGGCGUGCACUACCAUGCCUGGCUGAAGCUCCUGCUGUUCCCGUUUCUCACACAGCCUUGGACCAGGAGCCAGAG
Molecule: long non-coding RNA, 634 nt
Filed under: Heterocephalus glaber (naked mole-rat)
Lineage: Eukaryota; Metazoa; Chordata; Mammalia; Rodentia; Bathyergidae
Description: lncRNA (ENSHGLG00000035067.1)
Source: RNAcentral